GCAAAACGCGAAGAACCUUACCAGGUCUUGACAUCCCGCUGACCGCUCUAGAGAUAGAGUUUUCCCUUCGGGGACAGCGGUGACAGGUGGUGCAUGGUUGUCGUCAGCUCGUGUCGUGAGAUGUUGGGUUAAGUCCCGCAACGAGCGCAACCCUUGAUCUUAGUUGCCAGCAUUUAGUUGGGCACUCUAAGGUGACUGCCGGUGAUAAACCGGAGGAAGGUGGGGAUGACGUCAAAUCAUCAUGCCCCUUAUGACCUGGGCUACACACGUGCUACAAUGGACGGUACAGAGGGUCGCAACCCCGCGAGGGUGAGCAAAUCCCAUAAAACCGUUCUCAGUUCGGAUUGUAGGCUGCAACUCGCCUACAUGAAGCCGGAAUCGCUAGUAAUCGUGGAUCAGCAUGCCACGGUGAAUACGUUCCCGGGUCUUGUACACACCG
RNAcentral lists this ribosomal RNA (439 nucleotides) under uncultured bacterium. RNAcentral describes it as "bacterial SSU rRNA". It matches the Rfam family "Bacterial small subunit ribosomal RNA", at positions 954 to 1392 of the family's 1533-position model. The record is from RNAcentral.